Molecule: transfer RNA, 74 nt
Filed under: Lactococcus lactis
Lineage: Bacteria; Bacillati; Bacillota; Bacilli; Lactobacillales; Streptococcaceae
Also listed under: 1 other name
Description: tRNA-Met
Rfam family: tRNA
About the family: Transfer RNA (tRNA) molecules are approximately 80 nucleotides in length. Their secondary structure includes four short double-helical elements and three loops (D, anti-codon, and T loops).
Source: RNAcentral
GGUUCUUUAGCUCAGUUGGUCAGAGCUAACGGAUCAUAACCGUUCGGUCGCUGGUUCGAGUCCAGCAAGAACCA